This 450-nucleotide ribosomal RNA is filed under the name uncultured Glomeromycotina. RNAcentral's name for it is "SSU rRNA". It matches the Rfam family "Eukaryotic small subunit ribosomal RNA", at positions 569 to 1024 of the family's 1831-position model. The record is from RNAcentral. Lineage: Eukaryota; Fungi; Glomeromycota.
AGCAGCCGCGGUAAUUCCAGCUCCAAUAGCGUAUAUUAAAGUUGUUGCAGUUAAAAAGCUCGUAGUUGAAUUUCGGGGUUAGUAGAUUGGUCAUGCCACUGGUAUGUACUUGUCUUACUGAUUCCUCCUUCCUGAUGAACCGUAAUGCCAUUAACUUGGUGUUGCGGGGAGACUGGACUGUUACUUUGAAAAAUUAGAGUGUUUAAAGCAGGCUAACGCUUGAAUACAUUAGCAUGGAAUAAUGAAAUAGGACGUUCGAUCCUAUUUUGUUGGUUUCUAGGAUUGACGUAAUGAUUAAUAGGGAUAGUUGGGGGCAUUAGUAUUCAAUUGUCAGAGGUGAAAUUCUUGGAUUUAUUGAAGACUAACUACUGCGAAAGCAUUUGCCAAGGAUGUUUUCAUUAAUCAAGAACGAAAGUUAGGGGAUCGAAGACGAUCAGAUACCGUCGUAGU